GGAGAUGUAGCUCAGUUGAUAGAGGGUUUGCCUGGCAUGUACAAAGCCUUGGGUUCAAUUCCCAGCACCUCUU
RNAcentral lists this transfer RNA (73 nucleotides) under Neotoma lepida (desert woodrat). It matches the Rfam family "tRNA". From Rfam's summary of the family: Transfer RNA (tRNA) molecules are approximately 80 nucleotides in length. Their secondary structure includes four short double-helical elements and three loops (D, anti-codon, and T loops). Lineage: Eukaryota; Metazoa; Chordata; Mammalia; Rodentia; Cricetidae. The record is from Rfam by way of RNAcentral.